This 836-nucleotide long non-coding RNA is filed under the name Coturnix japonica (Japanese quail). RNAcentral describes it as "lncRNA (ENSCJPG00005017756.1)". Lineage: Eukaryota; Metazoa; Chordata; Aves; Galliformes; Phasianidae. The record is from RNAcentral.
UGAUAAGGCACAUAUUAGGGUUUCCAUACCCUUUGCCAUCUUGACAGUUUCUUCUGCCUCAUUCUUUGAUCUUGUUCUGCUGCUCCAUGAUUCUGAACAUUAGAAGGGCCGUUGUGCAUGAUUCCCACGUGGCACAAAGCUCACCCUUUUGUCUGCAAUUCUUGUUUGCUCAUUCAUUGCCAGUUCCAGAAAGUCUAAGUUAUUUUUUAUUUUGCAGGUAUUUCCUGGGAUGUAUGGUGAUGCACUUAAUGAUUGUUUUUGUGGAGUUUCUCCUGGCUGUGGAUCAAAGAUCUCUGCAAUUCGCUUCAGGUCAGAGGCAAUCUAACUUCCUUAGAGUAUUCAUCAGUUCUGGGAAAUCCAACAAUGCAUGUUGGAUGUUCAUUAUGAAGAAAGCAAAACAGCAGUUUCUAUAAAUCACACUGUAGUUCACACUCAAGUGAGACUACAUAUGGCAAAGGAGGAGAGCAGCCCCAGCCAUCUGUCUGAGAAUGGUUUUGUGCAAGGCCAAGUUCUUGUGAAGACAAAAGAAAACUUUGGGGAGUCAUGUUUUCCUGGAAGAGAGCUGUGCACUCCUUUUUACACUUUGCUGAAGCUGGUCGUAGCCUCCGGAAAGCCUAAUCUACGUUCUUUACUGUUAUCCUGGGUACCUGCUGCUCUCCAACAAUGUGACUCAAGAACUUUUCUUUUUGCACAACAGAUUGGCCCUUUUCAUUGAUUGGCAGCCUUCUUCCUUCUCAUCUCUUCAGACUACACAUAGUAAUGGUGAGGAAAAAGCACCCAUUUGCAUGAUUUUGUGUAUCGGAUUGUCAGAUGAUUCAGACAGUAAAGGCCAGUAA